Molecule: long non-coding RNA, 1729 nt
Organism: Cebus imitator (Panamanian white-faced capuchin)
Lineage: Eukaryota; Metazoa; Chordata; Mammalia; Primates; Cebidae
Exons: 4
Source: RefSeq, a predicted model, not a curated record
GGCUGUGGGGUUCUGGACAAGGAGCCUCUCAUCAAGUCCCUAGAGAGCUUGGAGGCAAUAAGUCUCCAGGGGCAGACCUCUCAGCUGGCUCCAAAAAUGUCUCUCUCUGAUUCUGGGGACUGUGGCCGCGAUAUUUCAAACAGCUCCUGAGGCGACUGGGAGGAUCUUCUGGAGGUUAAUAUCCUGAGUAUCUCAGAGAGCUGCUUCUCAAUAUUGGUCAUUUUGGCGUUCAGGGCCUUGAUGUCCUCCUUCAGCUCAUGCUUCACCUCCAGGACCGUGGCCUGCAGUGUCUGCUCAGGGAUGGGGUAGAAGGAAUGCUUGACCUCCGCCAGGAUGGGACUCCGAUCCUGGGGGCUCCUGGCCUCACCCACGUUGUCCAGGCGCAAGUCGCUCUUGGUGAUGCCACUGUCACACGAGUCUGUCUUCUUCAGCGUGGCCUCACCCGACGCUUUUGUCCUCUCGGGAAGCGUCUCCAUCGACUCAGCCUUGGACACCUUGUUCCAGUCCUCGCCCUUCCCGCAAGCAUCUUUGAAGCGGGCCCAGCCUUUGCGUUUGGCACAGUCGCCCCCACCUCCCUUGGGGCCCAGGCACUCGGACCCCGGUGCAUGCAGCUUUGCGUGGUCUGGCACCCCGGAGGUGGAGGCUGCCUGGAAGGACACGGGCGUGGCAGGACUCUCACGCACGGUGACCACGCUGGCCUUCACAAGGCUGUGGUUGGCGGAGGCAUGCUCUGUGAGGACAUUGCCCUUCUCCACAUCCAGGUCAUCCAGGUCCCGGCCCCCUCUCUCAGCCGCCAGCCUGGCCUCUUUCUGCUGUCGGAACCUCUGGAAGAGGCGCCGGACAGGGUGGUCUGGGGGCAGGAUCAGGGGGGCCUCAUUCUUCCGUUUCAUGCGCUCUUCCUCUUCACGCUUCACAUCGCUGAUCUUCCGGAACACAAUCUGCAGAGAGAGAGAGAAUGACAUGCCAUGUUAGCCACCUGCUAGCUGCGGCCCAACUCAGCCCUUUUGCCUAUCAUGGCCCUCUCCUUCCAGCCUACCUGCCACCAAGAGGCUGGGGCGCACAGCCUGCAAGUCCUCAUGAGGCUUUUCUCAUGACUGACAUCACCCUCCUUUUCUUGACAGUGGCUUCCAGCUUUCCAACAGCCGGGAAUUGACUCCCCUGAUACUCCCUUCAAGAGGAAAAAAAUCCUAUAAUUUUCCCUCCUCACAUGCCAGGAGGCUGAAGAAUCCAAAUAUUCUCUUCCCAGGAGACUGUCCCCAGCCUCUGCGCCUGGACUCCCUUCAAUCUGUCCUUGUGUGCAAUUCAGAAUCUUCUCAUGAGCCCUUAAAAUAUCAUUUCUCUGGCUCCACUUCAGACGAAGUCCAUUAGUAUCUCUGCACAAAAGUUUGAGCACGUCUGGUCUAAACCACACUUCAGGGCAAGAAAGUUUAGCUGAGUCCCCAGGCAAGGCUAUAGCUAAGACUUCCAAUGCCACCCACAGAUCUGGACCCUAAGUGAAUGUGGCUGGCUGUGAAAGGCCUCCCGUUGAAGAUGAUGCGAAAUUCACCCUAACUCCUCCAAGAGGCCCUGCCCUGCAUUCUCACCAGUAGAUUCUCAGGCCCUCCCAGACUGGUAGGCAUGGGCAGUAGGUGGAUUGGACAUACCUUCUUUUGACAGACAAACUUUGGGCCUGAAAGACUCCCACAGACUCUCCUGUUCUUCUGUCUUCAGGAAGGUUCAAACUCAAGAC